CAACAACAGAGUCGGUGAAAUUGUAAUUCCGGUGAAGAUGCCGGAUACCUGCGACAGGACGGAAAGACCCCAUGGAGCUUUACUGUAGCUUGACAUUGGGGCUUGGUACUACAUGUACAGGAUAUGUGGGAGGCUUUGAAACCAGGACGCCAGUUUUGGCGGAGCCAUCCUUGCGAUACCACCCUUGUAGUACUGGGACUCUAACCAUAGGCC
This 213-nucleotide ribosomal RNA is filed under the name Clostridioides difficile. RNAcentral's name for it is "partial 23S ribosomal RNA". It matches the Rfam family "Bacterial large subunit ribosomal RNA", at positions 2022 to 2234 of the family's 2925-position model. The record is from RNAcentral. Lineage: Bacteria; Bacillati; Bacillota; Clostridia; Peptostreptococcales; Peptostreptococcaceae.